This 638-nucleotide long non-coding RNA is filed under the name Numida meleagris (helmeted guineafowl). RNAcentral describes it as "lncRNA (ENSNMEG00000015508.1)". Lineage: Eukaryota; Metazoa; Chordata; Aves; Galliformes; Numididae. The record is from RNAcentral.
GGCCUGGCUUAAAAUGCAUUUCAUGGUCAGUGGAAAAAAAUGAGGAAGAGGAGGGUGUGGCUGCUGCUUAGAGAAUCUGGCUGUGCAGGCAGGGACUGUCUUUGGGGUUGUGAUCCUUCAACCUCACAGAAGGAAGACUUCUCUUAGCCUCCCAUUGUUGUCGCUGGGAGCUGGCAGCAGCUGUGGCAGGGGGAGCGUGCGGAGGAGCCGCCAACCGCCCGCUAGUGUCUCAGCCUGGAUGUAGUCUGGAUGCGUGAAAUACACAGCAGCAGAACUUGAGUUUUCAAGUGAAAUAGCUCUUCCUUGUCUGAAAAAUUCUUUAAAAUGCAGGAUUAGAUGUUUCCUACCACAUCAUCUGCAGGACUCCCAGAAAAUUCUUCUGCAAUUUGUGGCUGCCUGGAAAAAGAUGUAGUAGUAGUCUGGCAAAAUGAACUCAAGAUGCACAAGGAGAAGACACUAGAGACUGAUGUGCAAGGUGUUCAGGUAUUUAUGAUUUCAUUAUGUAUACCAGUAAUUGUUGUAUGAUGUAAGGUACUCUGUAGUUUAUGCAUUUACAGGCCUGAGGGCAAAUAUUUGUGUUAACUCACAAAAGGCGAUGAUAAAACAAUAUAAAAUAAAUGGAAAAGUCAUAAGAAGCA